CAACGAAUAUUCCGCAAUGGACGAAAGUCUGACGGAGCGACGCCGCGUGGAGGAUGAAGUCCCUCGGGAUGUAAACUCCUGUCAGGGGUUAGGAAAUUUGACCAGCCCCAGAGGAAGCCACGGCUAACUCUGUGCCAGCAGCCGCGGUAAUACGGAGGUGGCGAGCGUUGUUCGGAAUUAUUGGGCUCAAAGCGCGUGUAGGCGGGACGGACAGUGUCGGGUGAAAGCCCUUGGCUCAACCAAGGAAUGGCUUGGCAUACUACCGUUCUUGAGGUAGGUAGAGGUCGCUAGAACGACGGGUGGAGCGGUGAAAUGCGUAGAUAUCCGUUGGAAUGCCGGUGGCGAAAGCGGGCGACUGGACCUAUCCUGACGCUGAGACGCGAAAGCGUGGGGAGCAAACAGGAUUAGAUACCCACGUAGUCCCUGAGCGGGCUGGCAAGGCGCAU
This 446-nucleotide ribosomal RNA is filed under the name uncultured bacterium. RNAcentral's name for it is "bacterial SSU rRNA". It matches the Rfam family "Bacterial small subunit ribosomal RNA", at positions 355 to 825 of the family's 1533-position model. The record is from RNAcentral.